UGGGGAAUAUUGGACAAUGGAGGAAACUCUGAUCCAGCAAUUCUGUGUGUGUGAAGAAGGUUUUAGGACUGUAAAACACUCUUAGUAGGGAAGAAAAAAAUGACGGUACCUACAGAAGAAGCAACGGCUAAAUACGUGCCAGCAGCCGCGGUAAUACGUAUGUUGCGAGCGUUAUCCGGAAUUAUUGGGCUUAAAGAGCAUCUAGGCGGUAAGACAAAUUGAAUGUGAAAACCUGUGGCUCACCCAUAGGCUUGCCUACAAAACUGUUGAGCUAUAGUACUGGAAAGGUGGGUGGAACUACACGAGUAGAGGUGAAAUUCGUAGAUAUGUGUAGGGAUGCCGAUGAUGAAGAUAACUCACUGGAAAGAAACAGACGCUGAAGUGCGAAAGCGAGGGGAGCAAACAGG
RNAcentral lists this ribosomal RNA (407 nucleotides) under Verrucomicrobiota bacterium. RNAcentral describes it as "Verrucomicrobia bacterium partial 16S ribosomal RNA". It matches the Rfam family "Bacterial small subunit ribosomal RNA", at positions 355 to 776 of the family's 1533-position model. Lineage: Bacteria; Pseudomonadati; Verrucomicrobiota. The record is from RNAcentral.